CUACGGGUGGCAGCAGUGGGGAAUAUUGGGCAAUGGGCGCAAGCCUGACCCAGCAACGCCGCGUGAGGGAAGAAGGUUUUCGGAUUGUAAACCUCUGUCCUUGGGGACGAAGAAGUGACGGUACCCAAGGAGGAAGCUCCGGCUAACUAUGUGCCAGCAGCCGCGGUAAUACGUAGGGAGCAAGCGUUGUCCGGAAUUACUGGGCGUAAAGGGUGCGUAGGCGGCAUAUUAAGUCAGGUGUGAAAUACUCGGGCUCAACCCGGGGGCUGCAUUUGAAACUGAUAUGCUUGAGUGUGAGAGAGGAAAGUGGAAUUCCUAGUGUAGCGGUGGAAUGCGUAGAUAUUAGGAGGAACACCAGUGGCGAAGGCGACUUUCUGGCUCAUAACUGACGCUGAGGCACGAAAGCGUGGGGAGCAAACAGGAUUAGAUACCCCUGUAGUC
This 441-nucleotide ribosomal RNA is filed under the name uncultured bacterium. Its description in RNAcentral is "partial 16S ribosomal RNA". It matches the Rfam family "Bacterial small subunit ribosomal RNA", at positions 339 to 795 of the family's 1533-position model. The record is from RNAcentral.